Molecule: long non-coding RNA, 394 nt
Organism: Pomacea canaliculata
Lineage: Eukaryota; Metazoa; Mollusca; Gastropoda; Architaenioglossa; Ampullariidae
Exons: 2
Source: RefSeq, a predicted model, not a curated record
GUUAUCAUCAUGGCAUGCAUAGUAUUGCACAAGUAUAGUAUGCAUUCUGUAUGAUGAGCAUGAUGAUAAUCGUGAUGUUGAACUUUAUGGAGGUCAACAAGCCUUAAGUGCAAGAACAAAGCAAGAAUCCCUUAUUCACAGAUCCUUCUCCUAGAGCUCUAAUAUUUGAUGCACAGAGGGACUCUCAUUUCCACAAGUGUUGCAGCAGGGACCAGAUGAUGGAAGUCAUAUGAUUCUUUGCGACACUCUCCCUAUCAGGGCUUACAAUGAAGAGGGUACCAACUGGGAAAAAGAUGUGCUUCUAAAAAGUGGUUUAAAUUUGUAUGAAGCCAGAUAAUUCAAGCAAUUUUCUCUUUUUAUAAUAUUUUUUUACAGUAAAAGAGCUUCUUUCAAU